UCAGCACAAAUAUAAAAGCGGUCAGAGGGAGCCCAUUUGCUUAGGGGCAGGUGAGGAAGCUGCUGCUAACGGCACUAUUAUUUUAGGACCAAAAUUCAACCUCAUAUUUGGAGCACAUAAUGGGAUGACCCAACUUGGCAUCCAACUGAGGGGUUUGGGACCUCUCCCUGCCCCACUGGACCCCGUAAACCUGAUAGGUGGGCAACGGACCUCACUGACCCAUUCUACUCCAUAGAGCCCAAUCCCUCCUGUAAGAAGGGGACCCAUACGGCAAGGACUUCUCUCACCCCACAUCCCACUAAAAGGGGGCAACAGACCACCAUACCCAAGAUCCAUCCUGCACCACAGACCCCAUCACCCCAUCCCAAAUGGACAGAGGAUCCAGGGAUCCAGCACUCCCCAUGCCAGAGCCAUGGAACUGAGCCUCCUCCAAAGGUUCUGCGUUCUGUAGCAGCCAAGAGAAUGGCUCCAGCCAAUGGGACGUAGGUGGGUCCCAUCCCUUCCAAGCAGACACCAAUCUGCAAAGAGGUCCUGCAGACACAGAACCCAAGGCCCUGCCACCAGCACCAGUCCUGCAGCCAAGGACUGGCACGCACCACCAGUGCCCUCCUUUCACACCUGUCCCACAGCACCACCUGGGCCCCCACACCCUGGACUACCAGCCCGAGAGCUCUGCAGUUGCUUUUGAUGCAGUAUUACCUGUGCCCACCUUUCUUCCUGGUCGCCUCGCACAGUGAACCACACGAGGUGUAAGGUUGGGUGGACUGCAUUCAUCACUUGGAGGCAUCUCAGCCUCCUCACCAGCACUGAGGUCGGUGGAGCUGCGGUGGAGCUGUGAGCCCUUCGGUGGGGCAGGAGCGUCCUCUGCUGCCAGGAUUCUCCAGCUUCAGUUCGUCACCAGAUGCAAGGCUAUGCCACGGGGCUGCAGCGAGCCUGCAGCUCAGAAAAGCCCCGAGCACUGCAGAGACAAGCAGGCAGUCUGUGAUGCCUUCAGAGCGUUAUUCACCAAGUUACAAACACCUGCAAAAGCAAACAAGAACCACACUCUGCAGUGAUAAGAAUGCACAGCUUCGCAGACAGGAGCGUAGGGCUUAGGAGAAAGCUCUAUUUCAGAGGUUGGUAGGGAAUUUCACAUCACACAAAGGCACCAACCAAAAGCAGAGUUUCUAACAGCAGUGUUGUCCAGGAGUCCCAGCAGAUGGUGCUGGCACAUUUGGUAUGUGACCCCAUAACAAAGGCAGCUGAGGAUGAGGCAUCAGGCAGUGCUGACGACACGCUUUAUGGACAGGUCAUGCUUUAAUAGGUGCCGUUCCAAUGGCAGCAAUUAAUUGAGAGCAAAGGCUUGACACACAAACCUGAUGAUUUACACUCCCACCAGUCAAGGCAGACAGACCAAGACUAUGAGGCUGACCUGUAACCAGGCUUGGGACGCAGCCUUGAGAAAGGGGGAAUGCUGACAGCGAAUGGGAGCUGACUGCCUAGAAGGGCUACAAAUAUUCUUGGGAACAAGUUGGCUGGGCUGGUUAGCAGGGCUUUAAACUAGAGAUGAUGGGGGAAGGGGAUGUACUGGGUGACAGAGAAGACCACAGGAAUGCUUUCACCUUGGGAGGUGGUAAGGGAAAACCCCAGUCUUGCCCUGGAGGUAUUAGGGAGGGCUCCUCUGAUAAGGCAAUGAGGCCAAUAGCCAAGCUGAAGUGCCUCUAUACCAAUGCACACAGCAUGGGAGAUAAACAGGAGGAGCUAGAAGCCGUGGUGCAAUUGGGAAAGUAUGAUCUAAUUGCUAUCAUGGAAACAUGGUGGGAUGAAUCCCACAAUUGGAAUCUCCUGAUUGAGGACUACGUUGUAGUAGGCGUCUUGCGGGGGCACGGGAUGUACGGGACAGGCCUCUCCCUAAGCAUAGAGAGACAGUGCUAUCGUGCUGACCUUGAUGCAGAGAAAACAGGAGAAGAAGAAGGAUGAGAAAAGAAUGUGGAGACAGCCAAAUAGGGCACGGUGUUGUCUGGCAUGAACCAAUCAGAGUGGGACAUGACAGCACGGUUUUGUAGGUAAAAAU
Molecule: long non-coding RNA, 2053 nt
Organism: Gallus gallus (chicken)
Lineage: Eukaryota; Metazoa; Chordata; Aves; Galliformes; Phasianidae
Source: Ensembl